ACGAACGCUGGCGGUGUGCUUAACCCAUGCAAGUCGAACGGUAAGGCCCUUUCGGGGGUACACGAGUGGCGAACGGGUGGGUAACACGUGAGUAACCUGCCCUCAUCUCUGGGAUAACAGUCGGAAACGGUUGCUAAUACUGGAUAUGAGCUUGCAAGGCAUCUUGUGGGUUGGAAAGAUUUUUUUUGGUUGGGGAUGGACUCGCGGCCUAUCAGCUUGUUGGUGAGGUAGUGGCUCACCAAGGCUUCGACGGGUAGCCGGCCUGAGAGGGCGACCGGCCACAUUGGGACUGAGAUACGGCCCAAACUCCUACGGGAGGCAGCAGUGGGGAAUAUUGCACAAUGGACGGAAGUCUGAUGCAGCAACGCCGCGUGCGGGAUGACGGCCUUCGGGUUGUAAACCGCUUUCAAUUGUGACGAAGCUUUUUUGUGACGGUAGCAGUAGAAGAAGCACCGGCUAACUACGUG
Molecule: ribosomal RNA, 467 nt
Filed under: uncultured bacterium
Lineage: Bacteria
Description: partial 16S ribosomal RNA
Rfam family: Bacterial small subunit ribosomal RNA
Source: RNAcentral